GAUGAACGCUGGCGGCGUGCCUAAUACAUGCAAGUCGAGCGAACAGACGGGGAGCUUGCUCCUCUGACGUUAGCGGCGGACGGGUGAGUAACACGUGGAUAACCUACCUAUAAGACUGGGAUAACUUCGGGAAACCGGAGCUAAUACCGGAUAAUAUAUUGAACCGCAUGGUUCAAUAGUGAAAGACGGUUUUGCUGUCACUUAUAGAUGGAUCCGCGCCGCAUUAGCUAGUUGGUAAGGUAACGGCUUACCAAGGCAACGAUGCGUAGCCGACCUGAGAGGGUGAUCGGCCGCACUGGAACUGAGACACGGUCCAGACUCCUACGGGAGGCAGCAGUAGGGAAUCUUCCGCAAUGGGCGAAAGCCUGACGGAGCAACGCCGCGUGAGUGAUGAAGGUCUUCGGAUCGUAAAACUCUGUUAUUAGGGAAGAACAAAUGUGUAAGUAACUAUGCACGUCUUGACGGUACCUAAUCAGAAAGCCACGGCUAACUACGUG
RNAcentral lists this ribosomal RNA (497 nucleotides) under uncultured bacterium. RNAcentral's name for it is "partial 16S ribosomal RNA". It matches the Rfam family "Bacterial small subunit ribosomal RNA", at positions 28 to 507 of the family's 1533-position model. The record is from RNAcentral.